RNAcentral lists this long non-coding RNA (410 nucleotides) under Ananas comosus (pineapple). Its description in RNAcentral is "long non-coding RNA (ACOM_LNC021936)". Lineage: Eukaryota; Viridiplantae; Streptophyta; Magnoliopsida; Poales; Bromeliaceae. The record is from RNAcentral.
GAGGGAAUAUCCCACAAAAAAAAAUGAGAGAAAACUUCAAAUACCAUCCAUGUAGUUUCGCAUUUUCUCACUUUAGUACCAUGUGAUUUAAAGCGUAUAUAUUUAGUACUCUGUGGUUUCAUUUUUCAUUUUUUAUUGUCCAUUUCAUUAAUUUUUUUUAUUAAAUCAGUGAUAAAGUUAAAACUAAAGGGUAGUAAAGUGAAUAUUCAAUAAACCUAGAUGGGGUAUAUGAAGUUUUUUGUAUAUAAUUUAACGAAAUAUUAACAGAGGAGCUGACGAAAAGAGAAAAAUGAAACCACAUGGUACUAACUUGAUACAUUUUAAAUCACAGAGUACUAAAGUGAGAAAUUACAAAAUUACACGGAUGGUAUUUGAAGUUUACCCAAAAAAUUAUUCUUACAUACUUUAUU